ACAAAGGGCUUCUGUUGUUAGUGGCACAUGUAAGGCAACUCAGUUGCUUUUUGUAUAGAAUCGACAUCAAGAGAUUUUGGAAGCAUAAUUUUUGGUAGUUGGGCAGCUGGUGAUUGUUGGUCCUGGUGUCCUU
Molecule: small nuclear RNA, 133 nt
Filed under: Microcebus murinus (gray mouse lemur)
Lineage: Eukaryota; Metazoa; Chordata; Mammalia; Primates; Cheirogaleidae
Description: U11 spliceosomal RNA (ENSMICG00000020435.3)
Rfam family: U11 spliceosomal RNA
Source: Rfam by way of RNAcentral